RNAcentral lists this long non-coding RNA (2171 nucleotides) under Lynx pardinus (Iberian lynx). Lineage: Eukaryota; Metazoa; Chordata; Mammalia; Carnivora; Felidae. The record is from RNAcentral.
NGGGGGGGUGGGCCGGAUACGUUCUGGAGCUGUCAGCAGCCUGUGGGUUAAAGGAGAGGUAACAGAGGAGGCCUGUGAGAAUGGGAGGGGCCGAUUGCGCAAGGCCUUGUAAAUUAGUUGAUUUUAUCCGAAGGGCCGUGAUUUUAUUCGAAGAGCCUUGGCCGAGAAGGGAACAAUUGUGUUUGCAUUUUUUAAAGAUCGCUGGUCGCAGUAGGGAGAAUGGAUAGGAGGGAACGAAGUUAGAGGCAAGGAGACCACUUGGGGAGUUUUUUACCCAGGCAGGAGACAGGGGUGAUCCGCCCUAGAGAAGGGCGACUGCAGGCGGAGAAAACUAGAUCGGGGAUGGGGAAGAGGCCGAGGUUAUUUCCCAGUGCUCUGACUUGGACAACUGGGGGAAAGUGAUGCCAUUUUCUGUUUUGUUUUGGGGGAGAGAAUGAGUUUUCGGUGCCUGUGGGAUGCCUAUCAGACCACUGAAUAUUCGGUAACGUGGAUUGGAAGCCCGACGGAAAAGUGUGAGGUGUGCGUGCGCGCGAGCGAGCGUGUGAAGGUCGAUAGUUGUUGAAGCCGGGGAAGUGGAUAAGACGGCCUGGAGAGGGAUGUCUGCGUCUGAAAAAUGAGAUGAGGGAAGAGAACAGGAAAGGGGGGCGUUGAGAAGGGGCAGACGAGGGGAAGAAGGAAUCCAGGAGAGAAGUAUCAGGGAACCUGGUCAAAGUGAUAAACGUAAGAGAUUAGGUAAACGUGGACUAAAAUGUGACCCAGUGGGUAUUGCAAAAUUGCCUUUAGUAAUUUUGAAGCACCUUGUUCCAGAGAUAUGGUGGGAUAGGAACCAGAGUAAGUUGAAUUGAGCGACUGGAAAGGGACAGUGUAGACCGUUUUCUCAAGGUGUCGUCUGUAAAAAAAGGGGGCCUGGCAGUCGAGUGUAGCCCGAGGCUGAAUUCCAAAGAAAGGGAAGGAGUUUUCGCUGCCUGUGGGAUGGCCAGAGCUACCAAUGGCGAUUGAAUAUACAGAUCUAAUAGUAGAAGUAAAUUAAAUGGAAAUUACUACCUGGGGAAAAAAAAGCAAUGCUAGAAGAAUCCACACAGCACAUUUACACAGGCAUUAAAAAAUUGACCAUGAAGCGUGUGGGCCUGCGCAGGGUGGAAUUUAUACUUUUUAUUUUAGAUCCGUCUUUACUGUUUGAAUUUGUUUUCCUAUGUACAUAUGUGGUCUUUACAGAAAACUACUUUUUUUUGUAAACUUAGUGAUAUAUAGGUCAGAAAUUCGGAAUUACGAACAUUUCAGUGGCAGUUGAAGCUGUAGAUUUGGGUCAACUCCAGAGAACAGCAGAGGGCUAAGGAGAGUGCUUUGGGGAGAAUUCCAGCAUUUAAGGUACAAGUAGAGGGGCGCCUGGGGGACUCAGUCGGUUGAGCGUCUGACUUCAGCUCAGGUCAUGAUCUCACGGUUCGUGGGUUCGAGCCCCACAUGGGGCUCUGUGCUGCCGGCUCAGAGCCUGGAGCCUGCUUCCGAUUCUGUCUGUCUGUCUCUCUCUGUCUCCCUUCUCUGCUUGCUCUCUCUCAAAAAUAAACAUUAAAAAAGAAAUUUUUUUUUAAGUCCAAGUAGAAAAAGAGCCCUCGGAGAAUCUUUGAAGAGGAACAGCCAAUGAGAAAGAGUAGAAAUGGGGUGAUAACUGUUGUAGAACCGGAGGGAAGAGAGUGAGUGUUUCAAGAGGAUCACAGUCGUUAAAAGUGUCAGAUGUCCUCAGGAAGGCACCUAACAGGAAACGUGCUUUUCGUUCCAGGCCUACUUUUUCUGGAAGCUUGGCACAGAGGUCACGUGCAGGUCAUGAACCUUCCCCCAGAUAUGUGGAAUCUGAUCCCCGUGCUUUGCACCCUUAUGCAUCAUGGCUGCCAGCCCCAUCUCAGAAUCCGGUUCUGACACCACCCAUGUUUCCACACUCAGCAUUGCUGCCUCUCCCGUUCCUUGCCAUGGCCCUGAAGCUGCCCUCCAGAAAAAACCCGUGUUGGGGCACCUGGCUGGCUCAGUGGGUAGAGCAUGCGACUCAAGAGUCUCAGGGUUGUGAGUUCAAGCCCACAUGGGGUGUCGGGGUUACUUAAAAUUGGAAGUGGAGGGGCGCCUGGGCGGCGCAGUCGGUUAAGCGUCCGACUUCAGCCAGGUCACGAUCUCGCGGUCCG